UUUUUUUACUAUAAUGACUGUAUUUCAUUAUUGCUAAUAAAAUAUUUUAGUACAGAUUUCCUUUUGCUUGUCUUUGAGAUUUAAAACUUACUAGAUAACUAUACUUGGUUUCUAAAAAUUGUCAAUAUAAAUAGUAGACACAAUUUAAUAGUAUAUUCAUUUUUAUCUAGAGGACCCUUUGAAAUAAUGCAGUGAUUGUUAGAAUUAAAUUUGAUUUUCUCUUUCAGAAAUAACUACCCUGUUUCUAGAACUGACCUCUUUUUUUACUUUGUUCUUGCUGUUCCAUUUAACUAGAUCUUUAAUCAAAUCACUACCUUUUGGGGAUAGAAAUUGUUAAAUAAUUAUUGAAUAUUUAAUAUGUUAAAAGCAAUGAUUUUAGUUUUGUGGCAAAUACAAAGAAGUCCUUGCUUUCAAAGUUUUUUUUUUCCCAUUUACAAAUAAGAUAGAAGCUUGUCAGUUUAUUAUAAAAGAUAUGAAAAUUUAAGAUUAUAAAAGAAGCUGUUAGAAGGCACAAAAACUGGUGAAUUGUUAAUGGUCCCAAUAUUAAAUGUGUUUAGAAUUCAGAGAUUUUUUAGGCAAAGCUAUAUUUGUAAGGGAAUGUAGGAUUUUAUAAAGAGAUAGGAGUGGGUAGUAUGUUCCAGGUAAAGAAAAGGAUUGAGCAAAAUUGGAGAGUUGGAAAGAAUAAGGGAUACCAUAGGAAGUAUAUUAGUAUAUAUUGAACAGACAAUUCUUAUGGGAAGAUAGUAGGGAAUAGGGAUGGGGGGAGGUAUGUAGGGGGGAUUUGUGGGUUCUUAGAUCUUGAGCCAAAGUGGUUUUUAUUCUGUAGGUCAUUGUUUUUAACUGUAAAUCAUGUAUUCGAAUGGAAUUGUAACCACAAGUUCACUGUACUGUGCUAGAGUUGGAGGAAGAAUGGAAAUAACUCUUGUCCUCAGCUCCUAGCUAUAAUUCUCCUUGAGUUCCAUGAAAUAUGGGUCAGCCCUGCCCCAGGUCUCUGCAGAAAAUGGAUGAAACACUUUGUUCUAGAUCAUUGGUAACCAUAAAAAUUUUUUAAAUUUUUGAUCAAGGCUAAGGAAUAUUAUGCAAAUCUUUUGAAAUGGUAUUCAAGAAGACUUAGUUGGCAGGAGAGGUUAAACCAUAGGGUGGGCUGUCACAUUACUUGAGAUACGGAGCAUUAAGGUCUUGAACCAUAGUAGAGGGACUACAAAGAAAAGACUGAAGAGACAUUUCAGUGGCAGAAAUGAUCAGGCUCUUUGAUUAAAUAAUGGAGAAGUAAAUGAAGAAUCAAAGGGGGAUAGAACUGCUAUUGAACACUAUCUUUGUUAAAGACUUGGUCAUAGGUUCUGUGGAGAAAUUAUAGAGGACUUCGCUUUUAAGAAGCUGUAAUCUAGUGAUAGAAACAUGAUCAAAACAGGCAAAUCUGCUUCUGUGGUCUAUUUUGCAUAGACUUAGGGUUCUACCAGAACAACUUUACAUACUUUGGGGUUCUGGGCAAGAUUUUGUGUGUGUAUGCACAUGAGUUUUAAACUUCCCUUGCUAAUAAUUAAAAAAAAAAAAAAAAAUCCAAAACUUUGUUUCGUUAUGUUUAUUCAGUUGUAUAGAGAAAAGCCUUUCUUGCUAAUGUGAUAGAUUUCAUUAAAUAAGUGAGUGUUUACUCCAUGCCAGGCAUUAUGUAGUGAACAAAGUGGUUUCAGUCCCUGUCUUCAAGAUGAAAGAAAGUUAUUAGUGCAGUAUGGUAAGUUACGAUAGGGUACUACUGAAGAGCAUCGAGUAAAAGUUGACAGCAUAAGUUCUGGGGCCAGUUUACUUGGGUUAGGGUCCCAUCUUUGCCAUUUACUUGCCAUGCGACCUUGGGCAAAUUGUGGAGCUUUUCUGCGCCCCUGUUUUCUUUUUUAUAAAUUGUGUAUAGCCUUGAGAUUUUUCUUUAGUAAGUGCUCAGCAAGGUCAGUAUAGAAUGGGCAUCCUGGAUUUUCUCCUGGGUUAAAGUUUUGCUUAGGGAUCUAUGUUCAGACAACAGUGGGGCAAAGGAAUUUUGGAAAUAGCUAAGAGAUUGAUUAAAGUGAUAAGCCAUAUUGUUUAGGGAAGAAAAUAAAAGCAGGAGGAGGGUGCUAAUGCAGACAAAUGAAUAUAGUCAAGAUCAAUGUACAAUAAUGAUAUAAUGUGAGUUAAUUAGAAGAAUGCUGUAGAAAGUUAUGGUCAUGAUGUUUUAUUUCAGGCAAAUUGUGGGAAUAGUUUUAGUGAUAGCAAGGUCCAGAAUGUUGCUAUGGGAAUUGGUCUGAGAAGUGGGAAUGGAUAGGACAAGGAAUACAAGGAACUGAGGCUACAGCUUGAGAGGAGUUGUCCAUGAGGAAAUUUGUAUCAUUAUCAUUAAUUGUAUCAAGAUAUCAUUAUCUUGAUAAUGGCAGGAUUUUGGAGGACGAUUACUGUCUAAAUGAUGGUUCUACCUAGAACAGAUUUUUCAUGUAUUUGCAAAAAUGUUAGUAUAAAAAGAGUACUUAAGAAAAAUUCACUAGAUUAUUAAAAAAAAAGAUUAUAUGUAUUCUAUAUUCUUGUAAGAAUAUAUUACAAGUGGGGAUGUGCUUCAAAUUUUUACUUUAAUCAGUAUAACCUCUUAACUACCGUUGACCCAUGAACAAUGUGGGGAUUAGGAGUCCUGACCUCUGUGUAGUGUGAAGUCUGUGUAUAACUUUGACUCCCCAAAACUUAACUGCUAAUAGCCUACUGUUGACCAGAAGCCUUACCAGUAAAAUAGCCAGUAAACACGUGUUUUGCAUGUGACAUGUAUUAUAUACUGUAUUCUCACAAUAAAGUAACUAGAGGAAAGAAAACAUAGAUUCUUUUCAGUGUUCUAAGUAUAUCUUGAACUGUAGUUGGUUCAGUCAACUCAUUUUGUGGUGGUUUUGGGGUAGAAAAAAAUGAGUAAAUGGAAAAUGUAAAUAGUAGUUGAUUUAUAAUUUCUCUUGUUAAAUCUUUAUUUUUUGUUUUUUUUUUUUAAAGUUGUUUAAUGGGUAGAAAAGUAAGAUAACACUAAUUUAUGGACAUGGUGAUGCACCUUGCCGUUAUUAGGAACACUGUAGGAAGAGGAAAGAGGAAGAACUGCAGAAGUAUCUUCCUCUCUGAACUAUUAGGAGUUCUUUCUGCUUCGUGCAUACUUUUGUUUUUCUAUGGUAAAAAUUUUAUUGGAAGAAAUAAA
Long non-coding RNA from Neofelis nebulosa (Clouded leopard), 3190 nucleotides. RefSeq lists it as uncharacterized. The record is from RefSeq and is a predicted model, not a curated record. The transcript is spliced from 2 exons. NCBI's taxonomy places the organism in Eukaryota, Metazoa, Chordata, Mammalia, Carnivora, Felidae.